ACCUGUGUCCAAUCUAAGUGUCACAUGAUCUAUCAGUAUAUAUACACCUCUUCUGAAAGGUCUCAGAGGCUGCAACAUCUAAUGAAAGGGCGCUGCUAACCA
Molecule: long non-coding RNA, 102 nt
Organism: Melanotaenia boesemani (Boeseman's rainbowfish)
Lineage: Eukaryota; Metazoa; Chordata; Actinopteri; Atheriniformes; Melanotaeniidae
Exons: 3
Source: RefSeq, a predicted model, not a curated record